RNAcentral lists this non-coding RNA (29 nucleotides) under Mus musculus (house mouse). The record is from RNAcentral. Lineage: Eukaryota; Metazoa; Chordata; Mammalia; Rodentia; Muridae.
UUCUAUGGACAGAAAGGAAAGCAGAUGGU